Cyprinus carpio (common carp) is the source of this 139-nucleotide ribosomal RNA. NCBI's taxonomy places the organism in Eukaryota, Metazoa, Chordata, Actinopteri, Cypriniformes, Cyprinidae. The record is from Ensembl.
GCUUACAGCCAUACCACCCUGAGCGUGCCUGAUCUCGUCUGAUCUCGCCCGAUCUCGUCUGAUCUCGGAAGCUAAGCUGGGUCGGGCCUGGUUAGUACUUGGAUGGGAGACCGCCUGGGAAUACCAGGUGCUGUAAGCU